UGCAAGUCGAGGGGCAGCAUCAUCAAAGCUUGCUUUGAUGGAUGGCGACCGGCGCACGGGUGAGUAACACGUAUCCAACCUGCCGACAACACUGGGAUAGCCUUUCGAAAGAAAGAUUAAUACCGGAUGGCAUAAUUAUUCCGCAUGGGAUAAUUAUUAAAGAAUUUCGGUUGUCGAUGGGGAUGCGUCCCAUUAGGCAGUUGGCGGGGUAACGGCCCACCAAACCUACGAUGGAUAGGGGUUCUGAGAGGAAGGUCCCCCACAUUGGAACUGAGACACGGUCCAAACUCCUACGGGAGGCAGCAGUGAGGAAUAUUGGUCAAUGGACGAGAGUCUGAACCAGCCAAGUAGCGUGAAGGAUGACUGCCCUAUGGGUUGUAAACUUCUUUUAUACGGGAAUAAAGUUAGCCACGUGUGGCUUUUUGUAUGUACCGUAUGAAUAAGGAUCGGCUAACUCCGUGCCAGCAGCCGCGGUAAUACGGAGGAUCCGAGCGUUAUCCGGAUUUAUUGGGUUUAAAGGGAGCGUAGGCGGGUUGUUAAGUCAGUUGUGAAAGUUUGCGGCUCAACCGUAAAAUUGCAGUUGAUACUGGCGACCUUGAGUGCAACAGAGGUAGGCGGAAUUCGUGGUGUAGCGGUGAAAUGCUUAGAUAUCACGAGGAACUCCGAUUGCGAAGGCAGCUUACUGGAUUGUAACUGACGCUGAUGCUCGAAAGUGUGGGUAUCAAACAGGAUUAGAUACCCUGGUAGUCC
Molecule: ribosomal RNA, 750 nt
Filed under: uncultured bacterium
Lineage: Bacteria
Description: bacterial SSU rRNA
Rfam family: Bacterial small subunit ribosomal RNA
Source: RNAcentral